UGAUGGAAAUCAUUCAUUUAGCAUUUAUGACAGUACUCAUGGAAAUUGGUGGACUGGAAAACCGAAUUGGUUUUCAUCUUAUCAAGAUGUUAAGUUAGCCACUCGAAGUUGAGAUUGUCUAUGAUCGAGUGUAUGUACGUAAGUACGUAACUGUAACCAAGUGCGCAGUUGCAAAAGCUAAAAUCUCUCUGUUCGAGACGAGUACGGCAACGCUGAGGGGAAACGAAUGUCUCUCCCCUUAUAUUCAUUUGAAAUGACGUAUUUCUCCCUUGUAAAAGGGAACCAGUAUAGGGGUCCUGUGUAAGAACCAGUAUAGGGAUCGGUGUUGGUUCUAACUGGUAUUGAAGGAGUACAGCUAGGAAUAAGCUACUUUUACAAUGUAUCCACCUACUGUUAAGAAGAAAUAUUAUUAAAAAAAACCCGGGAGCCAGCCUUUCCCUCAACCCUUAUUAAAACAACAAUGAAGAUUCGACCGUCUCCGACGUCAAGUACCGGUUCCAGCUAAGGAUAGGCCAAGAAGUAUAGUAGCCUAGGCCUAUGAGGGAACCAGUAUAGGGGUCCUGUGUAAGAACCAGUAUAGGGAUCGGUGUUGGUUCUAACUGGUAUUGAAGGAGUACAGCUAGGAAUAAGCUACUUUUACAAUGUAUCCACCUACUGUUAAGAAGAAAUAUUAUUAAAAAAAACCCGGGA
Macrobrachium nipponense is the source of this 690-nucleotide long non-coding RNA. RefSeq lists it as uncharacterized. NCBI's taxonomy places the organism in Eukaryota, Metazoa, Arthropoda, Malacostraca, Decapoda, Palaemonidae. The record is from RefSeq and is a predicted model, not a curated record. The transcript is spliced from 3 exons.